GACGAACGCUGGCGGUGUGCUUCACACAUGCAAGUCGAACGAGGUAGCAAUACCUAGUGGCGGACGGGUGAGUAACACGUGGGAAUCUGCCUUUAGAUGGGGAAUAACGAGCCGAAGGUUCGCUAAUACCGCAUAUGUGUACGCCUCGACAGGGGUGUACAUGAAAGGAGUAAUCUGUCUGAAGAUGAGCCCGCGUCCGAUUAGCUAGUUGGUAGGUAAAAGCCUACCAAGGCGACGAUCGGUAGCUGGUCUGAGAGGAUGAUCAGCCACAAUGGGACUGAGACACGGCCCAUACUCCUACGGGAGGCAGCAGU
RNAcentral lists this ribosomal RNA (314 nucleotides) under uncultured bacterium. RNAcentral's name for it is "bacterial SSU rRNA". It matches the Rfam family "Bacterial small subunit ribosomal RNA", at positions 28 to 355 of the family's 1533-position model. The record is from RNAcentral.